GCAGGAGGCCCCCAGGAAGCUGGAUAAAGAUCAGGUCUCUCUGCAGAAGCAGGAAGUUGUGCCCUUGCCUCGUGGCUUGUUUUCUGAGAACCGGUGGAAGUGCAGACCUUAGACGGCCUCCUGGGAGGGGGGACGGAGACGGGGCCCCGCAGUGGAGGCCACCUCUCUGCAGAGCUGCUUGGUUGGCACGGGCAGAGCUGAGAGCAUGUGCUGCAGACAGAGGCCCACAGGGAGGCCAGCCCUGCCCUGGAGCCCAGAGCUGCUCCCCCGUGUCCAGACCCAGCAGGAAACAAAGUCACAUCUGGCCCCUCCUCUGGUCAGAAGCUGCACUUCCCCCCAGAGAAAGCCAAGCACCAAGGACCCACCAGGCCACGUGUACUGACC
This 384-nucleotide long non-coding RNA is filed under the name Sus scrofa (pig). RNAcentral describes it as "lncRNA (ENSSSCG00005034647.1, ENSSSCG00045028048.1)". The record is from RNAcentral. Lineage: Eukaryota; Metazoa; Chordata; Mammalia; Artiodactyla; Suidae.